GGGAUAAGAAGGCAGAAGGGUGGAUGGAGAGAACACCUCCACCAGGAGGACCCCAGAUCUAAAUGAACAUCCCUGUAUGGUUUCCAAGCAGAGCCGCUGCCUCCUAGGCCUCUGCUUCCUCUGGCUGGGAAGCCUGGGGCCUGGGACUUGCUCCUUGGGCACCCUGAAAGGGAAGCUCUGACCAUUUGACCCAGUCUGGGUUUUCAGACUCAGCUUGACUUCUAGGAAUGGAUGGCACUGUUCUCUGGGCACAUCAUUAGCUCAUCCCAUUAAAGUCAAGGGAGGAGAAAGAGGAGGGACCCCUUGGUGGGGUGUCUAGCUACUUGUCUUACCUAUGGCCUAGACAAAGAGUGCUGCAGGAUUAUCCCAGUCAAGAGCCCUGGAAGGCCAGAGGCAGUCCAGAUACUGCAUUAUGCAUGAGCUGGGAUGCACACUGCCCCAGGAAACUGAAAAGAGGAAGAAGGGAUGACUCACAAAGCCCAGGGCCAGCAUAAGGGUGGGAUUCACAUUACCUGCCACAAUUGCCCCAUCUGGGCAAGGGGGGCCUUUAUUCUCCCCCCACCCCCACCCCCAAGCCUCAGACUGGAAUUGUAGGCUCUUAGCUACCUCCUUCUGGAACAGAAGAGAGGCCCAAUUGUGAGGGCGAGAGGAGCCCCAGGUGUGGCUCGCUUGGCACACAACUGGAUACCCACAUGGCUUUUUAACCCCAAGGCCCUGUUACUAAAGCCCUCCAAAUUCUUUACACAAAAGGAGCUGCUCCUCCCACAGCAUAAUCAUCUCCUCAUUAAUGACUCCCCCUUUUCUUGAGAAAGAUGGGUUGAUUCACCCAUUCCAUUCCCCCCAAUCCCAAUACAUGGCUCUAGGCCCUUUUCUUAGGACUCUAUUCAGGCCUAUUGGCACUCAGAAAAAAAAAAACUGGAAGGCCUUCUUCCUCUGUCUCCUCCCCCCCAGAUGUGGGGUGCCUCCACCACUUUCCAGGAAAUAGGGCCCCAACAAAGGGUGGCAAAGAAUUGGAAACCAGAGGAACACCCAAGAGUUGGGGAAUUAUGGCAUAGUAAUAUAAUGGUUUACUAUUACACUAUCAGAAAUGAUGAAAGGGAUGAUUUCAGAAAAACUUGGGAUGAUUUAUAUGAAUUGAUGCAGUGUGAGUAGAACUAGGAGAACAUCUUAUAUAACAGCAACAACUUCAUAAAGAAAAGUGCCUUUGAAAGACUCAAGAACUCAACAACACGACCAACCCCCAUUCCAGAGGACCAAUGAUGGAGGAUACUAUCUACUUCCUGCCUGAAAGAUGAUAGAUUCAAGGUACAGAAUGAGACAUAAAUUUUUUUGGACGUGGCCAAUGUUGCAAUUU
This 1354-nucleotide long non-coding RNA is filed under the name Monodelphis domestica (gray short-tailed opossum). Its description in RNAcentral is "lncRNA (ENSMODG00000036342.2)". The record is from RNAcentral. Lineage: Eukaryota; Metazoa; Chordata; Mammalia; Didelphimorphia; Didelphidae.